Molecule: long non-coding RNA, 956 nt
Filed under: Ananas comosus (pineapple)
Lineage: Eukaryota; Viridiplantae; Streptophyta; Magnoliopsida; Poales; Bromeliaceae
Description: long non-coding RNA (ACOM_LNC005516)
Source: RNAcentral
GACAUUUGGUUGGAUGUAGUUAUAAAAUCAGUAUAGUAAAAGGUAUAUGUAUUUGCAAAUGUUGCAGGUAGCUAUACCUAGUUUGUUUGAUUUUAUACAGUUGCAACUGCUGUAGUUAUAUAUAUAUAUUUUUUGAUAGACUACAGUUGAGAUUUGUAUUUGUAAAUUCUAUCAAUUUUAAGAUAGAAAUAUUAGAUUAUUUUUCUAAACAUAACGUAAUCAUUAGAUCUUUUAAUUAUUAACUAAGACUUUUAUAUCUAUAUAUAAUUUUUAUAUUAUAAAAUUAUGUAUGAAUUUAAUGAAUUUUAAAUACAAACAUAUUAUAGAUUUGGUCAAAAUAAAAAUUAAGAUAUUAUUAAACUAGCAGACUGGGAAAAAAGAAGCGUAUGAAAAAAUUUAUUGAACCCAAACAUACAUUAUUAAACCCUAGUAAAUUUCAUGAAUAAGCAUUCUGGGGAAAAAAAGAAAAAUUUAAAAAAGAAGAGUAUGAAAAAAAAUUGUAUUUUAUUUAUUUUUUUAAUGGGUGAGCCGAUUCCGGCCCAACUGCUACGGUUGGUAUACCAGCUGCAGCAGUUGGGCCUUCUCGUGUAGAUGCAACUGUAGUAGUUGGGUCUAACUAUACCAAACUAAAUAAAAAUUUAGGCUUCGUUUGGGAUUGCGCGGGGAGAUUGCUUACGUGCGGUGAGAAAGUACGUUAGAAAAAUACCAUGUUUCCGUACGUAAUAUUGCGUUCCGCAUAUCGCGAUGAGUCAGUUACGAUAUAUUUUCUACGGUCCCACCGGAGAACGCAGAAGCAUAUCCCUAUAUAUUUUUUUCUCAACUCCAUUUUAUCUAAUAACGUUAGAUAGACCUCAACACCAAACAAAGGCUUAAUAGAUGCAUAUAUUUUCAACCGCAGUGUAGUUAGCAAUACAUACAACCAAAUAGCCCCUAAAUAGUGUGGACAUCUUAUAUCU